Molecule: ribosomal RNA, 1410 nt
Filed under: uncultured Rhizaria
Lineage: Eukaryota
Description: SSU rRNA
Rfam family: Eukaryotic small subunit ribosomal RNA
Source: RNAcentral
CGGAGAGGGCGCCUGAGAAACGGCUACCACUUCUAAGGAAGGCAGCAGGCGCGCAAAUUACCCAAUCCCGACUCAGGGAGGUAGUGACAAGAAAUAACAAUAAACCGGCUUAUGCCGGUUUAAUUGGAAUGAGUACAAUUUAAACAUCUUAACGAGGAACAAUUGGAGGGCAAGUCUGGUGCCAGCAGCCGCGGUAAUUCCAGCUCCAAUAGCGUAUACUAAAGUUGUUGCAGUUAAAAAGCUCGUAGUUGGAUUUCUGUGGGGACGGAGCGGCCGGUCGCAACUUGCGAUUCGAGCUAGCGCUUUCCCUACAUCCUGCCGCGAACCGUGCUACCAUUAGUUUGGUGGCGCCGGGGAUCGGCUCGUUUACUUUGAGAAAAAUAGAGUGUUCAAAGCAGGCCACACGCCUUGAAUAAGUUAGCAUGGAAUAAUAAUUAAGGACUUCGGUUCUAUUUUGUUGGUGUUCGGGACUGAGGUAAUGAUUGAUAGGGACAGUUGGGGCGGUCAGUAUUCCAAAGCGAGAGGUGAAAUUCUUAGACCUUCGGAAGACUAACAGCUGCGAAAGCGUUCCGCAAGGAUGUUCCCUUUGAUCAAGAACGAAAGUUGGGGGAUCGAAGACGAUCAGAUACCGUCGUAGUCUCAACUAUAAACUAUACCAGCUAGGGAUCGGCCAACGUUAAAUUAACCGACUUGGUCGGCACCUUAUGAGAAAUCAAAGCAUCUGGGUUCCGGGGGGAGUAUGGUCGCAAGGCUGAAACUUAAAGGAAUUGACGGAAGGGCACCACCAGCCGUGGAGCCUGUGGCUUAAUUUGACUCAACACGGGAAAACUUACCAGGUCCAGACAUAGUAAGGAUUGACAGAUUGAUAGCUCUUUCUUGAUUCUGUGGGUGGUGGUGCAUGGCCGUUCUUAGUUGGUGGAGUGAUUUGUCUGGUUAAUUCCGUUAACGAACGAGACCCCAGCCUGCUAAAUAGCGCGGCUGAGCUUUGCUCGGCGCGAGCUUCUUAGAGGGACUAUGAUGCGCGAUAGCACAUGGAAGUUUGGGGCAAUAACAGGUCUGUGAUGCCCUUAGAUGUUCUGGGCCGCACACGGGCUACACUGGCGCCUGCAACGAGCAUAUCAGCUGGCCCGAGAGGGUCUUGGCUAAUCUUUUGAACCGGCGCCGUGCUUGGGAUUGACCAUCGCAAUUGUUGGUCAUGCAACGAGGAAUGCCUUGUAAACGCGAGUCAUCAACUCGCAUUGAAUACGUCCCUGCCCUUUGUACACACCGCCCGUCGCUCCUACCGAUGAAUGUUCCGAUGAAAUUUUCGGAGAGGGCGCAUGAGAACGGGGCUCCGCCUUGCAGAUCUGGAGGCUCAAAGUCACUUAAAUCUGAACAUUUCGAGGAAGGAGAAGUCGUAACAAGGUAACC